Anopheles arabiensis is the source of this 2104-nucleotide long non-coding RNA. RefSeq lists it as uncharacterized. The transcript has 3 exons. Lineage: Eukaryota; Metazoa; Arthropoda; Insecta; Diptera; Culicidae. The record is from RefSeq and is a predicted model, not a curated record.
CAAAAGUUCCCUACAUUUUCAUAGAUUUUUGCGAUUUCUCAGUUAUGUUUUCAUGCAUGUAGCUUUGAAAAAAUCACGGGAGAAAUUAUCAUAUGUUGUAAAGGAAAAGUUCGAUUUGCGUUUGAUUGUUUUUUCCACGUUAAUGUUAGGCGAAGUAUUAGGAUUUCCGUAUGAUCUCGUGCGAUUGCCUAAAUGUGUUUGCCCGGUGUUACCCCAUAUUUCGCCACCGAUUGUUAUACCUUCCUGUAAUUUUGUUCUAACAUAAUCACUCUUGCAUUUUAGGUGCAGCGGUUGCUUAUUCUGAAAACGAGAAUUGUCAAAAGUCUCAGUUCGCGCAUGGAUGCAUAACAUGGAAUGAUGUUGUAGUGAAUGCUAUUUUUCUUAGGCUCGCUCACUAUUGUGCUCGUCGGUCACGAUCCAUGGAUACGGUACGGUUGAUUGAUGCAAACGACUCCGACCAGUUGGGCAUUCCACGCUGAACGACGCAUAAGAGCUCUUCUUGCACCUGCUGAUCUUCCGGGUAUAGUCGAACUCCGACGUAUUGCACCCGCUGGACCCACGGGACGAUUCAUUUAAUGACCGGACCCAGAGUCGGGGGCGAGCCAAUCGGAAUCAAUUUCCGUGGUUGCAGCGAGUUUGGUUCGACCCGCCAGGCCACAAAACGUUUAGCUGGGUCCGGGCCAUGAGCCUACUUUGGCCCAACCUGACCCGAACUCGCUGCUGCAACGGGUCUGCUUAUGCUUUCUUGCAUCUACUGAACAUACUUACAUCUUACGGUUCGACCCGGACGACUCAGGGUCGUUUACGGAUGACUCCGACUCGGUAGGCUCUCGCCGUCAACUAAACGAGCGCUGAAGCUCUGGCAAGCAGCUAUUUUGUCUUCGUCGCAUUGAUUCUCGGUCCAAUUCUUGAUGCUUCGCGCUUGAGUCAGGUGAUUGCACUGCACUCCGUUGAUGGUGGCUGGUAAGUGGUUGCGCUGCAUGAUGUUCCAUAGCUCAUUCCGGUCCAUGGUGUCGUAGGUCGCCUUGAAGUCGGUGAACAGGUGGUGCAUUAUUCAUCCGUAUGCCUUUAUUGAUCAAACAAUUUUAACAAAAUAAUGUGUCCUGGAUGAACCUCCCGAUAAGGAUUACACAUUAUGGAAUUCACUCAACAGGUGUAACCGUCCGAAUGCACCUAUUGUGUAGCUAAACACUAAUGUCCGGCACUUUUCCGACGCUACAACUGAUUUGCAGUCGUGGCUGCCUCAGGAGCGUCCGAAACCGCUCACGGUUUUCUUGCAACCUUAAUUUGGGCCUUCCACGCCUCUUCUGUUCUUGUCCCCCUAACAAGAUUUUACGGGUUGGGUUGUCUGCUUCCAUGCGUACAACAUGGCCAGCCCAUCGGAGCCUGGCGAGCUUGAUACGCUGCACGACAGUGAGGUCGCCGUACAUCUCGUAUAGCUCGUCAUUAUAGCGUCAAUUUCCUUCCACACAUACGGGGCCAAGUAUCCUUCUGAGCAUCUUCCUCUCGAUCGCGGCUAAGAGAGGUCUUCGUCAUAUUUGAACAGUGGCCAUGUCGCAGAGACGUAUACGAAUCAUAGAGCAUGUCGACGUGACAUGCCCAGGUCAACAAUCAUUCUCCGACAUGCUCAGUCCCUGGCUGCAGCCUCCCAUCCAUGUAGAUACCCGAUUUUCGACAGGUCUCGCUUCACCUGGUCCACCCCUGUGCUCCCAUGCGCCUAAUGCCGAACUGUGGGUCGCUGUCGAAUACCUUCUUGGUGAGGCAUGAGUCCGGCAUCCUCAUGACAUGCCUCAGCCAUCGUAUCUUGCCAGCCUUCGGUUGGCCGUACAGCUCAGCAAGCUUGUGGUUCAUCCUUCUCCUUCAAACUCCAUGCUCGAACACACCGCCAAAGAUGGUCCGGAGGAUGCGUCGCUCAAACACGCCCAGAGCGUUUGCUUCCUCCGCUCGGAUGGUCCAGGGUUCGUGUCCGUAUCAAUGUACUAUAUAUCGCACAUAUUGUUGCGAAACGAUAAAAUAAAGGUGAAAAAUGUAGAUAUUUCGGUGUUGAAAAAUCACAAAUUUAGUUUUUAUUCCUUCUUCUUAAUAUAUGGCGCAAACAAGAGGU